GAGCGCGUAGCUCAGUUGGUAGAGCAACUGACUUUUAAUCAGUAGGUCCAGGGUUCGAACCCCUGCGCGCUCACCA
Molecule: transfer RNA, 76 nt
Filed under: Rhizobiaceae bacterium
Lineage: Bacteria; Pseudomonadati; Pseudomonadota; Alphaproteobacteria; Hyphomicrobiales; Rhizobiaceae
Also listed under: 2 other names
Description: tRNA-Lys
Rfam family: tRNA
About the family: Transfer RNA (tRNA) molecules are approximately 80 nucleotides in length. Their secondary structure includes four short double-helical elements and three loops (D, anti-codon, and T loops).
Source: RNAcentral